CUUCUCUAGACAAAACAGUAUUAACUUUUGGUAAACAUGCUCAGGUUUACUGCUGCAGUUCUUAGAUUCUUCAUUAAUAUAAUUUUAAGGCAUAAUGUCUAUAUUACUAUUCUACUAAUAGGUACCACAAAUGGAAAUGAAGUAACACAGGCAGAAUCAAGCAAAACUGUUUAUGCAGAGAAAGAUGCUAUUCUAUCCUGCAAUUAUUCAACAGCAGGUCAACCAUAUCUGUACUGGUAUCAGCAGAAAGCAAAUGGGCCUUUAAAGUACCUAGAUCUACACCUAAAUACAGCUAAAACUGAAGCAACAGCAGGUCGUUUCACAUCACACUUGAAUGUUUCCAAGAAAUUUGUGUUUCUGAAUAUCUCUAGAGCCCAGCUGUCUGACUCGGCAAUUUACUACUGUGCGAUGAGUGACACAGUGACUGAUGUUCCUCUUAACAUCAAGCAAAAAACUCUAAGCUGGUGUUUUUGGAACCAAAGCUAG
This is a non-coding RNA of Protopterus annectens (West African lungfish), 486 nucleotides long. The record is from the annotation of a RefSeq genome assembly. Lineage: Eukaryota; Metazoa; Chordata; Ceratodontiformes; Protopteridae.